RNAcentral lists this non-coding RNA (23 nucleotides) under Arabidopsis thaliana (thale cress). The record is from RNAcentral. Lineage: Eukaryota; Viridiplantae; Streptophyta; Magnoliopsida; Brassicales; Brassicaceae.
UGGAGCAGAACCUGAUGGGCGUA